AUUUGUUUUAGACAUCCACAUCCUCUGAAUUAAUUGAAGUAAAUUCGAGUAAACAUUUAGAGCGUUGCUUGGCAAAAAUUUAUUUUUCUGGUAAAUGUAUAUGUCACACACAUUGCGUAGUAUACGAUAGAUAGCUGAAUAAAUAAUGGAACUAACCAAUUCAAUCAACAAUCGAACGAGAACGAACGAGAACUCACAGCAAAUUACAAUUUGAUGCAAUUUAUACUUUAUGGAAUAUCUUGUAACGCAUUAUACUUUUAUCAUUAUUAUAUUUUUAAAGUACUCCCCAGAUUCAAGUGUCCUCUCUGUAUGUAUGUACAAAUGUAUAGUAUUGUGCUGAUGCAGAUGCAUUCUGUGUGCUAAGUGGAUGUGUGUGUUCGAACCGAUUGGCUAUAAAAAUAAAAGGCUGCUUGUCUCCAUUCCGUAUGCAAUAAGGUUUAAAUCCCCCUGGUUUCUCCCCAGCCCAUCUCCAAUCUCCACUACCAUAUACCAUUCCAUAUGGUGCUAGCUGACUGCUUUAAGCCUAUGAGGUUUAAUUAAAUUCACUUGCUUUUUAACUUUUCCUUCUACUAGGCGCCUGUUUCCCUCAUCCGUGUGUUUUAAGACCAUGAAAAUAUAGCAUCACUAAUGAUUUCGUUAAAAGCUUUCAAUAUUUUUGGUUUCGAUAGAGGUUAUAGCUUCAAAAUGGACGUUUCAUAGAUAGAUCAUUAAUGUUACAUAGACUUCAAGAGUUUUUUCUGUGUUUGAGCAGAACUACGUGGUAGAUAGUAAAAAACUCGAGGCGACUUUGAGGAUAUGUGCCUACAGCAGAAGAGUACGGUGUAUCUAAGCUGGUUUACUUUAAGGAUUCCUCUUGUUUGGGGAUUUCAGAUAUUGGCAGUUUCCAGUGUUUGAAAACUUUUGAGAAUGGAAUUACAAAAAUUCUUGGGCAAUUCCCAUUACAAUAUGAAAAUGUUAUUCAUUGCAGCCAGAUGGACUAUAAUGCAAUCCUAGCUUACAGCUAACUCCACUUGCAAGCGGUUCAUAAAUCAUUCAAACUAACCCAUGGAAGGCAACUGUUUGCUAAGUCAAUCCAACCCCUCAGACUCUCAUCCUUCUCCUGGUUAUCUUGGAAUUGGAUUGUUACAUUGACUUUUUGAAAUUCAAAUCACAUGCAGAACACAGAUGCAUAGCCAAUGAAUGCAAAUAGACAUGCCUGCAUAGGCUCCUAUGUACAUACAUGUUCUCAGAAAAUCACAUAUUCAAACUGCUCCCACCUCUCGCCCUCCCCUACAGGUCGGAUGUUUGCGUUUAACUUUUUACAUUAACUGUCAUUUGGUUUAUUUCACAAUUUACAAAAUUCAACUUAAACAAUGGGAUUAUACGUGGUGCAGUCCAUGCGUGGAGACUUAAUCGGCAUCCGCGCGCAUACCCCGCACCUCGCCCACCUGCCGCGCCUUGUCCAGCUCCUCCUUCGUUUGGUCUUCGAUGGCGCGGAUGUCCUCCAUUGUUAGACCGUACCAGCGAUCGGUUGAACAGAAAACUUGGCUGAAAUGGGAAUGGAGGAGUGAUCAAUGGGGAGUUUUCAUCGAGGGUUUAUCGAACUGUAUAGAUUCUAACUAACUUAAUCUAGCAUCGAAUUCUAAGCUAUACAAUUAAAGAGCAAUUACCGAUGGAA
Molecule: small RNA, 1657 nt
Filed under: Drosophila yakuba
Lineage: Eukaryota; Metazoa; Arthropoda; Insecta; Diptera; Drosophilidae
Description: GE27457
Source: RNAcentral